GAGUAAAGUGGCGAACGGGUGCGUAACACGUGGGUAAUCUUCCUCGAAGUCGGGGAUAACCUUCCUAACGGGGGGCUAAUACCGGAUGUGUUUACUGGCAGGCAUCUGCCGGUGAAUGAAGAUGGCGUGCUGAGCGCUAUCGCUUUGAGAUGAGCCCGCGGCCUAUUAGCUAGUUGGUAGGGUAACGGCCUACCAAGGCGACAAUGGGUAGCCGGCCUGAGAGGGUGUCCGGCCACAUUGGGACUGAGAUACGGCCCAGACUCCUACGGGAGGCAGCAGUAGGGAAUAUUGCGCAAUGGGCGAAAGCUUGACGCAGCAACACCGUGUGAGUGAUGAAGGCCUUCGGGUCGUAAAGCUCUGUCAGGUGGGAAGAAACCUGGCUGGUUAAGAACGCCGGCCAGCUGACGGUACCACCAGAGGAAGCUCCGGCUAACUCCGUGCCAGCAGCCGCGGUAAUACGGAGGGAGCGAGCGUUGUUCGGAAUUACUGGGCGUAAAGGGCGUGUAGGCGGUUUGGUAAGUCAGAUGUGAAAUCCAAUGGCUCAACCAUUUGAACUGCAUCUGAUACUGUCAAACUUGAGAGCAGUAGAGGAGAGCGGAAUUCCCAGUGUAGCGGUGGAAUGCGUAGAUAUUGGGAAGAACACCAGUGGCGAAGGCGGCUCUCUGGACUGGUUCUGACGCUGAGGCGCGAAAGCUAGGGGAGCAAACAGGAUUAGAUACCCUGGUAGUCCUAGCCGUAAACGAUGGGUACUAGG
RNAcentral lists this ribosomal RNA (754 nucleotides) under uncultured bacterium. RNAcentral describes it as "bacterial SSU rRNA". It matches the Rfam family "Bacterial small subunit ribosomal RNA", at positions 88 to 820 of the family's 1533-position model. The record is from RNAcentral.